Molecule: ribosomal RNA, 394 nt
Filed under: uncultured bacterium
Lineage: Bacteria
Description: partial 16S ribosomal RNA
Rfam family: Bacterial small subunit ribosomal RNA
Source: RNAcentral
CCUACGGGUGGCUGCAGUGAGGAAUAUUGGUCAAUGGACGCAAGUCUGAACCAGCCAUGCCGCGUGCAGGAAGACGGCUCUAUGAGUUGUAAACUUCUUUUGUACGGGGGUAAACGCAGAUACGCGUAUCUGUCUGAAAGUAUCUUACGAAUAAGGAUCGGCUAACUCCGUGCCAGCAGCCGCGGUAAUACGGAGGAUUCGAGCGUUAUCCGGAUUUAUUGGGUUUAAAGGGUGCGUAGGCGGUCUGAUAAGUUAGAGGUGAAAGUCCGAGGCUCAACUUCGGAAUUGCCUUUGAUACUGUUAGGCUAGAGAGUAGUUGAGGUAGGCGGAAUGCAUGGGGUAGCGGUGAAAUGCUUAGAGAUCAUACAGAACACCGAUUGCGAAGGCAGCUUAC